Small nucleolar RNA from Eptesicus fuscus (big brown bat), 125 nucleotides. RefSeq annotates it as small nucleolar RNA SNORD22. The transcript has a single exon. The record is from RefSeq and is a predicted model, not a curated record. Lineage: Eukaryota; Metazoa; Chordata; Mammalia; Chiroptera; Vespertilionidae.
UCCCACUGAGGAAACAUGCACACGUCUUGCCUCCUGUCCUAGGCCCAGAGCCUGCAAAGGGGAACCCAGAGGACUGGCUAGGGAAGAAGAGGAAAGUUUGUUGUAGAAGGAACUGUCUAAGGGAU